Drosophila nasuta is the source of this 816-nucleotide long non-coding RNA. RefSeq lists it as uncharacterized. NCBI's taxonomy places the organism in Eukaryota, Metazoa, Arthropoda, Insecta, Diptera, Drosophilidae. The record is from RefSeq and is a predicted model, not a curated record. The transcript has 5 exons.
GCCUUGCUUGUUUGUUGUUGUCGCUGAGCGCAGCUUUGUUAAAGCUCUUUACGCAUUGCGAGAACAGCUGUCGCGGCAUUUUUAGCGUGUUCGGUUGUGUGUGCGUAUUGUGCUCUAGUGAUUUGUGUGAAAAAUAAAUAUUUUGAGCAUCGUGAGUGUUUAAUUGUGUUUUAAUUCAACAAAUUCGUUCGUCUAAACAAUUUGCGUAUGGUGAGCUAAUCGUACGCUCCUUAUUAUGCCUACUGAGAAUGAGAAAUAUAUUCGCCAGCCAAAUUACCCAAAAGGGGCGGUGCCACGCCUCUCUUGCAACCACGUUGAAUAUGCAAUGCCAAGGGAUCUACUGUUUAGGCAACGAUUAGUGGCAACCACAUUCGAAAGUUUAAGAAACAAAAGUGAUUAAUGUGUUUUCAUCAUCGGUAUAACCAGGAAAUUCUCAUCAAUAUUAUUAUGAAAUAUUGGAUAAGGAAUUACUUCGCCUGACGGAGUUGGAGGAGCUCUACAGCUACAAAGUAUUUAAAAUCGAUGAAAAUUCCAGAAUAAGUAAAAGUAAAAUUUUUGGAUGGCGGUUUCCAGGUUUAAAUAACAACUACAACUCUCGAUGUUAUCCACUUUUAGAUAAUAUGUGGAGCAAUUUAAAUACCAGACCAGAACUUAAUAUAGAAACAAGGAAACUUAUCUUGAAAUUCGCCAGGACACUUUUGCAAUUAAAUUACUUUAUAAUUGUUUGUUGCUGUUUUAUGUUUGCCUGGUAUUUGACUUGUGUGUAACUUAAUAAUCAUCUUUUAUAUUUAAUUGUACCAUGUUAACGUUGUUUAA